CAGCCGCCACGGUAAUACGAAGGGGGCUAGCGUUGUUCGGAAUUACUGGGCGUAAAGCGCACGUAGGCGGAUCGAUCAGUCAGGGGUGAAAUCCCAGGGCUCAACCCUGGAACUGCCUUUGAUACUGUCGAUCUGGAGUAUGGAAGAGGUGAGUGGAAUUCCGAGUGUAGAGGUGAAAUUCGUAGAUAUUCGGAGGAACACCAGUGGCGAAGGCGGCUCACUGGUCCAUUACUGACGCUGAGGUGCGAAAGCGUGGGGAGCAAACAGGAUUAGAUACCCGCGUAGUCCCUGUCUCUUAUAA
This 301-nucleotide ribosomal RNA is filed under the name uncultured bacterium. RNAcentral describes it as "partial 16S ribosomal RNA". It matches the Rfam family "Bacterial small subunit ribosomal RNA", at positions 509 to 809 of the family's 1533-position model. The record is from RNAcentral.